Molecule: long non-coding RNA, 1942 nt
Organism: Oreochromis niloticus (Nile tilapia)
Lineage: Eukaryota; Metazoa; Chordata; Actinopteri; Cichliformes; Cichlidae
Source: Ensembl
AUGUAUCUGAUCAUCUUAACAGGGAAGCAUCAUAAACCAGAGCAGAGUGCUGUUUACUCUGAGGUGAAGACGGGAGCUGCAGAGGACAGUCUGAUGUAUGCUGAGGUCAAACAGCCCAAAAAAGAAAAAGCCAAGAAAAACAAAGGUGAGCAAAGUCUGCCAUCAUCUCCACUGAAUAUUGUUCAACAUGUUUAUCUGCUCUUAAAAUGUAAAUCUGUUUAUUUUAAUAUUUAUAUUUAUGUAUUCAUUAGUUGGUUAAUAAAAUCUAUCAUACUCGUUUAUCUUUGCAUUAGUGGAGACAUGAAGUUUCCUCCUGGUUAAUGAUAUUAUUGUUUUCAAUGAUCUUCUCUUCAUUCACAGGAAAAUCAAGUCCUGCAGCUGAUGCAGCAGUUUAUUCUGAAGUCACAUCAGGAAGCUCUCUCAGUAAUUCUGCUGCCAUGCAGGCUGAUUUAUUCUUCACAUUAUUAAAUGUCUUCAGCUCAUAAUAUCUUUACUUGUUGGAAAUCACUUUGUCUUUUUGUGCUUGUCUUACAGGUCAGUGAGGAGAGCUGUAGCAGCAAAGCCAAGAAGAAGCUUUUUAUGAAGCCACUCUUGCUCCUCUGCUCCCCAAAUAUCAGACAUGCUCAGGUUUAUGUACAGUUACAAUAUUAAAUCAUUAUAUCAUACAGUUUAGUAUAAAACAAAUGUAGGUGUAUUCCUAUUUAAUAUUCAUGCUCUCUAUAUUCAGUUAUAUUUCUUAAAGAUUUUGUAAUAAACCUUGAAUGUAUCUAACAUGUUCCAACAGUGGUGAGAACAAAGUGUGAAAUAUGUGAUCUUUAGUAUCUGACAGCACAACUUAAAGUCAGUGUUUGCAGUGUUUCACAAGUAAAUACUGAUAUGGGACCAACACAAACUUUAACUGUGUUUGUCUAAAGAUUUCAUACAUUAUAUAAAUAAGAAAUAUAUGAUGGGCAGUGAAUACAUUUGAAUAUAUGAAUACAUGUGUUUUAUGUAUCUAUUUUGUCUCUGAUCUUUUUAUUCAUUUAUUGUUAGAAGGGAAAAAGUAAAAUCUUUUUAAAGUUUAACUUUUAAUGUUUAUGUUUGAUUUUUUUUUUCUGUAUGAGAUUAUCCACAAACUAACAACACAAACACGUAAACAGUUUGCAUCAGCGUUGUCAUGGAAACCUGAAAUAAACAGAUGUGAGUAUGAUUUGCAAAGUGGUCACUAAGUACAGAGCAUGACAGCAGUCUGCAUGUAUCUGACACAGAGGACUGAAGCAGAACAUUUACAGAGAGAAGCUCUCUGUGUGCUGCUGUCACAGGAUGCAGUCAAAGGAAAAGAGAACUUGUACAUGUGGUAAAUCAGCACGACUCAGAGAAGUAGCAGUAUUAUAAUUUUCCAUAACACUCACUUUUGAGCAUUAACUGUUCACACAAGAAUUUAUUAAUAUGACACAAAUAUCAGAGCUAAAAAUCCAGACAGGUUCAACAGAGAACAAUACAGAAACAAAACAUCUCUUUGACCCUGCAGAGUCUCAUUCUUUAGUCACAGUAAGGUGAGAUACUGUCAGGAGGAGGGCACAGGUCAGGGUCCUGCUCAGUCAGGUGUAUACUUAACCAGCUGGGUCGAGCUAGCUUGGCAUUUUCCUCUGCAAAAUCACCAUAAACACUGCUGAUCAUGUGCUCUAAUAACUCAACUGUAUGUGCUGUAGAUGGGUUUCCCUCUUCACUAUCAAUCAUGCACUUGUCUUAUAAAGUAGGAGAGCAACAAGCACACUGGUGACUUUUUUGUCCUGUCACCAUUUGUAACUAAUUUGUUGACCUUCAGUUAUUUUAGUUUCCAAUAAAAUCUCAUUUUUAAUCACGUUCUGAUGUUAUAUGGUCUGAAUGCAGUCCUGUGUUCCUGUUGAUUUAAUUAAGCGGUAAAUGCAAAAGUAACAGCAUGUUUUAUGAUGUAUUUAAU